Molecule: ribosomal RNA, 504 nt
Filed under: uncultured bacterium
Lineage: Bacteria
Description: partial 16S ribosomal RNA
Rfam family: Bacterial small subunit ribosomal RNA
Source: RNAcentral
AUUGAACGCUGGCGGCAGGCCUAACACAUGCAAGUCGAACGGUAGCACAGAGAGCUUGCUCUCGGGUGACGAGUGGCGGACGGGUGAGUAACGUCUGGGAAACUGCCCGAUGGAGGGGGAUAACUACUGGAAACGGUAGCUAAUACCGCAUAACGUCGCAAGACCAAGGUGGGGGACCUUCGGGCCUCACACCAUCGGAUGUGCCCAGAUGGUAUUAGCUAGUAGGUGGGGUAAUGGCUCACCUAGGCGACGAUCCCUAGCUGGUCUGAGAGGAUGACCAGCCACACUGGAACUGAGACACGGUCCAGACUCCUACGGGAGGCAGCAGUGGGGAAUAUUGCACAAUGGGCGCAAGCCUGAUGCAGCCAUGCCGCGUGUAUGAAGAAGGCCUUCGGGUUGUAAAGUACUUUCAGCGGGGAGGAAGGCGGUGAAGUUAAUAGCUUCACCGAUUGACGUUACCCGCAGAAGAAGCACCGGCUAACUCCGUGCCAGCCGCCGCGGUAA